UACGGGGGGAGCAAGCGUUGUUCGGAUUUACUGGGCGUAAAGGGCGCGUAGGCGACGCAACAAGUCACUUGUGAAAUCUCCGGGCUUAACUCGGAGCGGCCAAGUGAUACUGUCGUGCUAGAGUGCGGAAGGGGCAACUGGAAUUCUCGGUGUAGCGGUGAGAUGCGUAGAUAUCGAGAGGAACACCUGCGGCGAAGGCAGCCUUCUGGGCCAACACUGACGCUCAUGCACGAAAGCGUGGGGAGCAAACAGGAUUAG
Molecule: ribosomal RNA, 258 nt
Filed under: uncultured bacterium
Lineage: Bacteria
Description: partial 16S ribosomal RNA
Rfam family: Bacterial small subunit ribosomal RNA
Source: RNAcentral